Molecule: ribosomal RNA, 506 nt
Filed under: Platyceps sp.
Lineage: Eukaryota; Metazoa; Chordata; Lepidosauria; Squamata; Colubridae
Description: partial 16S ribosomal RNA
Rfam family: Bacterial large subunit ribosomal RNA
Source: RNAcentral
AACCUUUAGACAUACAAAUAUUAAAGGCAACGCCUGCCCAGUGAAUAAUUAAACGGCCGCGGUACCCUAACCGUGCAAAGGUAGCGUAAUCAUUUGUCUACUAAUUAUAGACCAGUAUGAAAGGCAAAAUGAGGGUCUAACUGUCUCUUAUAAUAGAUCUAUAAAACUGAUCUUCUAGUAAAAAAGCUAGAAUGUUCCCAUAAGACCAGAAGACCCUGUGAAGCUUAAACUAAACUAUUAACCCAAAUAAUAACUACUUUCGGUUGGGGCGACCUUGGAAAAAAAAAGAACUUCCAAACACCAUGAACAUAAUUCAUACACAAAGGCCAACAAGCCAAUAAUGACCCAGCACAGCUGAAAACUGAACCAAGUUACUCCAGGGAUAACAGCGCAAUCUUCUUCAAGAGCCCAUAUCAAAAAGAAGGUUUACGACCUCGAUGUUGGAUCAGGACAUCCUAAUGGUGCAGCCGCUAUUAAGGGUUCGUUUGUUCAACGAUUAAAGUCCU